RNAcentral lists this ribosomal RNA (742 nucleotides) under uncultured archaeon. RNAcentral describes it as "bacterial SSU rRNA". It matches the Rfam family "Archaeal small subunit ribosomal RNA", at positions 54 to 801 of the family's 1478-position model. The record is from RNAcentral.
CGAGUCGAGAGGGUUCGGCCCUCGGCUGACGGCUCAGUAACACGUGGAUAAUCUGCCCUUAGGUGGAAGAUAAUCUCGGGAAACUGAGAAUAAUACUCCAUAGAUCUAGGAUGCUGGAAUGCACUUAGAUUGAAAGCUCCGGCGCCUAAGGAUGAGUCUGCGGACUAUCAGGUAGUAGUCAGGGUAAAGACCUGACUAGCCUACGACGGAUACGGGUUGUGAGAGCAAUAACCCGGAGACGAUAUCUGAGACACGAUAUCGGGCCCUACGGGGCGCAGCAGGCGCGAAAACUUCACACUGUGCGAAAGCACGAUGAGGGAAUCCCGAGUGCCGACUCGUAAGAGUUGGCUGUUUCUCUGUCUAAAAAACAGAGAGAGUAAGAGCUGGGUAAGACGGGUGCCAGCCGCCGCGGUAAUACCUGCAGCUCAAGUGGUGGCCACUAUUAUUGGGCCUAAAACGUCCGUAGCCGGUUUAAUAAAUGCCGGGGUAAAUCGUGUAGCUUAACUAUACGAAUUCCGGGUAGACUGUUAGACUUGAGACCGGGAGAAGCUAGAGGUACUCCUGGGGUAGAGGUGAAAUUCUGUAAUCCUAGGGGGACCACCAGUGGCGAAGGCGUCUAGCUAGAACGGGUCUGACGGUGAGGGACGAAGCCCUGGGGCGCGAACCGGAUUAGAUACCCGGGUAGUCCAGGGUGUAAACGCUGCUUGCUUGAUGUUAGUUGGGCUCCGAGCCCAAUUAGUGU